CCGACCUUAGCUCAGUUGGUAGAGCGGAGGACUGUAGUUGGAAAACCAUACCAUGCUGAAAUCCUUAGGUCGCUGGUUCGAAUCCGGCAGGUCGGA
This 96-nucleotide transfer RNA is filed under the name Medicago truncatula (barrel medic). It matches the Rfam family "tRNA". Rfam says of the family: Transfer RNA (tRNA) molecules are approximately 80 nucleotides in length. Their secondary structure includes four short double-helical elements and three loops (D, anti-codon, and T loops). The record is from Rfam by way of RNAcentral. Lineage: Eukaryota; Viridiplantae; Streptophyta; Magnoliopsida; Fabales; Fabaceae.